GAGUGGACCUGGCUGGGGGUGGGGAUCCCAGGGUCCUAGCCCCUGAGCUCAGUCUUUGGGGAAAGGGCUUGAGUUUCUGAAAGUCCAUUGAAUACAGUUUCUUAAGUGUCACAACCUUAAGAGAGGUGGCACUAUCCCCAUUUUACCUGAAAAGAAACAGGCUCAGAGAAAAAGAAACCCCCUGCCUGGAAUCUUCCGGCUAGAAUCUGAAAGCUGGUGGAUCCUAACACCCCAAACGGGACUCCCUCCUGGUUAAACUGCAGGAAACCAAAGACUGGUGGAGGUGUGGAAGGAGGCAGAGGUAAUUGAAGAAGAUGGCGCUAAAGAAACCCUGACUUCCCAGUUUCCAUCCUGACUCUACUUCUGACUUGCCUACUGCAUUACAGGGUGAAGACUGUAUAGUCUGAUUCCACUGCAAAGAACUCACUUGGAGGCAAUGUCCGGCCUGGCCCCACCAGCCUAAGACCUUAGAGAAACACGCUCCAGAAAGCUGCAGUCUUUAUUCCAAUAAAUAGAAGAGAAGAUACAACCACACACACAUACUGUCUUGCAUUUAUUCAUAAGAAGGGAUAAGAAUUGGUACAAAUAAAAAAACAUUGCUUUAAAUACAAAUAAAUAGUUAUAGUUUCUAAAGAAAACAACACUAUAAUAUAGUCCUAAGUGCUUCCUAAGUUCCUAUUAAAAAUAGAAGGCUAUUUGCAUUAAGUUCUAUUCCACCACAAUCCUUUGAGGACUUAAGUAUAAAAUGGUGAAUUCUACACUCCAAAAAGUCACCAGAAAAAUGGGAGACAAACUCCCACCUCCCUGAACUAUCUCACAAAUGGGAGGAGAGUUACUUGCAUUGUAGACACAGCUAGUAAAAGCAGAGAGUAUUUGGAUAGCUAAAGACUGACCUUGGGAAAAGUGGUAAGAAUGUCUCGGAACCAGUCCUGUGGAUUCUAAAACCUCACUAUGCUAAAGUUUUUAUUUUUUGGGUACUGGGAACUGAACUUAGGACCUCACGUUUGACAAGUAGGUGCUACACCACUGACCUAAAUCCCCAGCCCCUAUGCUUAAGUUUUGAUUCAAGUGUUUUAACUACAUUUAUACUUGCCGGAAGACUUAAAUACCUAUGAUAAAAGCUUCCUCUUGCUAGAAAUGAUAGUAAUAAAUACUGUCUAACCACCUGAGUGGCACCUGGAAUAAAUAACAAAGUGAUCUACCUACUAAAGCAGCAGUGAUGCUGCCCAGUGAAACAGUCUGUCAAAGCUUGGCACCAAAAUGACCCAUACUAUGUGGAAGAAACACUCGCCCAAAUCUGUCAGCUUAUGUACUACUCUCCACUGUUGUAUUUAGAAUGUUCAUAGUGCCAAAAAUAUGUAGGGAGAAGAAUGUCCUAUGAAUGGGAGAUCAUUUUUGCAAGGCAUGCAGAGUUUUAAAACUACAUCAGCAGUGGCGAACCUAUGGCACAUGUGCCACUCCCAGCUGU
This is a long non-coding RNA of Cavia porcellus (domestic guinea pig), 1468 nucleotides long. RefSeq lists it as uncharacterized. Lineage: Eukaryota; Metazoa; Chordata; Mammalia; Rodentia; Caviidae. The transcript is spliced from 3 exons. The record is from RefSeq and is a predicted model, not a curated record.